This is a long non-coding RNA of Phyllostomus hastatus (greater spear-nosed bat), 1064 nucleotides long. RefSeq lists it as uncharacterized. The transcript has 4 exons. NCBI's taxonomy places the organism in Eukaryota, Metazoa, Chordata, Mammalia, Chiroptera, Phyllostomidae. The record is from RefSeq and is a predicted model, not a curated record.
AGGAUGUGGAAGUGCAGAAAUUGAGCUUUGGCCGCGACAGUCUGAGAAAGGACUAGCAGGUUGGAAGACACCCCUGAGUCCAAAGUGGAAAUGAUGGAGUACCAACAAAACUACAUAACAGGAUAUAAGUCGUGAAGAAUACACAUGUGAUCCAACAGAGGAGCUGCAUCAACAGCCUUCAGUGCUUCCAACCACACACCUAUAUAAAGAAUAUAAAGAAUCUGAAAACGAGCACACAUUCUGCCACCUCAAAUUUUAAGAUCAUGUUGUGGCCUGGAUUGUUUUCCUGGGGACUCCUUCCUUGUUUGCAGGUGACCAGCAGAGCUGGUGUCCAUGCCUGGUUCUCCAGCACCACCCACCCAUGGAUUUUGGCUUUACAAGGGACAUCUCUGGCUGUCUGGAUGACUGUUUACCUGGGCACUGAAGUUGACCAAUUGACCAGGCCUGCAGUUAUACUGGUGGGCACAGCAACUGGGUCGAGAAGCUGACUGGUUAUUCCCAUACUUGCCAACAUGCUCACUUAAAAGUACUGCACAUAGGAUGGUUAAGCUUUCUCCAAGUGGAGGGGAAUGGAAGGCAGAGGCAUAAAUGCUAUGUAAUGCUUUUUAUUUUCUGCAAAUAUGGCUGGUAUAUAACAGCUUGUUACUUGCAGAUGUAAAAUACAGUGAUUUGACAUUUACCUUGCCUAUAGUGUAGUCAGCCCACAAAAUCUGUUCUGUUGUCACCAUGCAAGCUUAUGAUGAGACUAUUAAAGUUACACCUCUCUUUUUAAAAAAGAGUGAACACAUGACCAUGUAUCAUAUCAUCAUGGCAAUGAUUAUCAUUUACGUUACUGCUUAUUGUUUAUGGACGUUUCACGGUGGCAACUGUUACUACAACUCAAAGUGACUCCAGUCAAGUUUCUCUGCCCACAAAAGGUACCCAGUUAACCCCGUCCUUUGAGGAAAUUUCUAAAUUGGUACAGAACCAGUUGUCCUGGGGGGAACCCUGUGUGACUUUUCCAAGUUCACCAAACUUGGAUUCAAACUAUUCAGAGGCCUUAACUUGCCAGUGUAGAAGCAUAG